Molecule: ribosomal RNA, 250 nt
Filed under: uncultured bacterium
Lineage: Bacteria
Description: partial 16S ribosomal RNA
Rfam family: Bacterial small subunit ribosomal RNA
Source: RNAcentral
GACGAACCGUGCGAACGUUAUUCGGAAUAACUGGGCUUAAAGGGAGCGUAGGCGGGCUAUCAAGUCUGGGGUGAAAUCCCACGGCUCAACCGUGGAACUGCCUUAGAUACUGACGGCCUCGAGGGAGAUAGGGGCAUGCGGAACUGUAGGUGGAGCGGUGAAAUGCGUUGAUAUCUACAGGAACUCCGGUGGCGAAAGCGGCGUGCUGGAUCUCUUCUGACGCUGAGGCUCGAAAGCUAGGGGAGCAAAC